AUACCAGGACCACAGAGAGAGACCAGCUACAGAAUAGUCUAAAUACCAGGACCACCGAGAGAGACCAGCUACAGAAUAGUCUAAAUACCAGGACCACUGAGAGAGACCAGUUAAAUACCAGGCUUAGGUUCUAUGAGAAACCCUGUCUGAAGGAAUGGUGGAAGUUUGGCACCAGCUGUUAUUAUGUCUCCUCCACGAGGGACUCAGGCAGGGAAGGUCAGCGGCAGUGCAAAGCAAUGGGUGCUGACCUGGUUGUUAUGAACAGCAGAGAAGAACAGAUAUUUAUCCAUGGAUUAAAGAAGAAUGUCUGGAUUGGUGCAACUAAAAAAAACGGAAUCUGGGAGUGGGUUGACGACACAGCAAUUAAACAUACCUAUUGGAUGGAAGGGGAACCAAGUAACUUGAAUGACGAGGUGGCUUGUAUUGAGAUCUCAAAGACGGCAUCAGACCCAUUGAAGAGUUGGAAGGUUGUAAAAUGUACUUCAAAUUACUGGGUGUGUGAAAAACCGUUCACACCGUAGUCUAAUUAUAAUAACUAAUGUAAGCCCCUAUCUUAUGGAGUUGCACUGGUUUUCCCUUUGUUAGGCUUAACGUGUUUCUAUGUGUAUCUACAUUGAAAUAUGUAUUUGAUGUCUUUAAAGAGACCAGGGCUAUGUGGAGUUUGUCCACCGUUCAUCAGGCCCAGGGGAGUGGAACUGUGGUCUAGUAGGCUCUAACUGUGGUCUAGUAGGCUCUAACUGUGGUCUAGUAGGCUCUAACUGUGGUCUAGUAGGCUCUAACUGUGGUCUAGUAGGCUCUAACUGUGGUCUAGUAGGCUCUAACUGUGGUCUAGUAGGCUCUAACUGUGGUCUAGUAGGCUCUAACUGUGGUCUAGUAGGCUCUAACUGUGGUCUAGUAGGCUCUAACUGUGGUCUAGUAGGCUCUAACUGUGGUCUAGUAGGCUCUAACUAUGGUCUAGUAGGCUCUAACUGUGGUUGACUUUUUUUUAAACUAUAUUUACAAUUUUUACCAUUUAAUGUGUGCAUAUAACAAUUGAAUAAGAUUCUGUUUUCAUUUAAGUUUUUACAGUUAUCAAUCCAUUUCAAAUGCAGCAGUGUUCUGUUUCCUUCCAUUCCAUAUGUACCAUGUGUUCAUUCUACUGAUUAAAUACAUCUAUAUACUGUGAUCUAGGUAUGUCAUUUACUUGUCAGGUAUACUGUAAUACUAAGUGUUGUAAUGUAUGAAUAGUAACUCCAAUGUUUUCCUUCUAAA
Molecule: RNA transcript, 1251 nt
Organism: Coregonus clupeaformis (lake whitefish)
Lineage: Eukaryota; Metazoa; Chordata; Actinopteri; Salmoniformes; Salmonidae
Exons: 4
Source: RefSeq, a predicted model, not a curated record